RNAcentral lists this ribosomal RNA (880 nucleotides) under uncultured bacterium. RNAcentral describes it as "bacterial SSU rRNA". It matches the Rfam family "Bacterial small subunit ribosomal RNA", at positions 11 to 886 of the family's 1533-position model. The record is from RNAcentral.
GUUUGAUCCUGGCUCAGAACGAACGCUGGCGGCGGGCUUCAUACAUGCAAGUCGAGCGCGUGUAGCAAUACACGAGCGGCGAACGGGUGAGUAACGGGUGGAUAACCUACCUCUCCGGUGGGGAAUAACGGCGGGAAACUGCCGCUAAUACCGCAUACGGUUGCCGGCCCUCGGGCCGGUAAAGAAAGAAGCGUUUGCUUCGCCGGGAGAUGGGUCCGCCUCCGAUUAGCUAGUUGGUGGGGUAAUGGCCUACCAAGGCAUCGAUCGGUAGCCGAACUAAGAGGUUGAUCGGCCACACUGGAACUGAGACACGGUCCAGACACCUACGGGUGGCAGCAGUAGGGAAUCUUGCGCAAUGGGCGAAAGCUUGACGCAGCCACGCCGCGUGGAUGAUGAAGGCCUUCGGGUCGUAAAGUCCUUUUCUGAAGGAAGAACAACCUGGUGAGGAAAUGCUCCGGGUCUGACGGUACUUCAGGAAUAAGCAACGGCUAACUCUGUGCCAGCAGCCGCGGUAAUACAGAGGUUGCAAGCGUUGUUCGGAAUCACUGGGCGUAAAGGGAGCGCAGGCGGCCAAGUCAGUCUGAAGUGCAAGCCCGGGGCUCAACCCCGGAAUUGCUUUGGAUACUGCUUGGCUUGAGUAUGUCAGAGGUGAGCGGAAUUCCAGGUGUAGCGGUGAAAUGCGUAGAUAUCUGGAGGAACAUCGGUGGCGAAAGCGGCUCACUGGGACAACACUGACGCUGAGGCUCGAAAGCGUGGGGAGCGAACGGGAUUAGAUACCCCGGUAGUCCACGCUGUAAACGUUGUGCACUAGGUGUGGGGGGUGUCGACCCCCUCCGUGCCGGAGCUAACGCAUUAAGUGCACUGCCUGGGGGAGUACGGU